AGGGGGCACCUGAUCCUUCAUGCCGCGUGAGUGAAGAAGGCCUUCGGGUUGUAAAGCUCUUUUGUCAGGGAAGAAACACCGGCUCUAACACAGUCCGGGAAUGACGGUACCUGAAGAAUAAGCACCGGCUAACUACGUGCCAGCAGCCGCGGUAAUACGUAGGGUGCGAGCGUUAAUCGGAAUUACUGGGCGUAAAGCGUGCGCAGGCGGUUAUACAAGACAGGCGUGAAAUCCCCGGGCUUAACCUGGGAAUGGCGCCUGUGACUGUAUAGCUAGAGUGUGUCAGAGGGGGGUAGAAUUCCACGUGUAGCAGUGAAAUGCGUAGAUAUGUGGAGGAAUACCAAUGGCGAAGGCAGCCCCCUGGGAUAACACUGACGCUCAUGCACGAAAGCGUGGGGAGCAAACAGGAUUAGAUACCCUGGUAGUCCACGCCCUAAACGAUGCUGACUAGUUGUUCGGGAUUUACAUCCUGAGUAACGUAGCUAACGCGUGAAGUCAGCCGCCUGGGGAGUACGGUCGCAAGAUUAAAACUCAAAGGAAUUGACGGGGACCCGCACAAGCGGUGGAUGAUGUGGAUUAAUUCGAUGCAACGCGAAAAACCUUAGCUACCCUUGACAUGUCACUAACGAAGUAGAGAUACCUUAGGUGCUCGUACGA
This 657-nucleotide ribosomal RNA is filed under the name uncultured bacterium. RNAcentral describes it as "bacterial SSU rRNA". It matches the Rfam family "Bacterial small subunit ribosomal RNA", at positions 373 to 1024 of the family's 1533-position model. The record is from RNAcentral.